Molecule: ribosomal RNA, 465 nt
Filed under: Vreelandella stevensii
Lineage: Bacteria; Pseudomonadati; Pseudomonadota; Gammaproteobacteria; Oceanospirillales; Halomonadaceae
Description: partial 16S ribosomal RNA
Rfam family: Bacterial small subunit ribosomal RNA
Source: RNAcentral
CCUACGGGUGGCAGCAGUGGGGAAUAUUGGACAAUGGGCGAAAGCCUGAUCCAGCCAUGCCGCGUGUGUGAAGAAGGCCUUCGGGUUGUAAAGCACUUUCAGUGGGGCAGAAAGCCUUGGGGCUAAUACCCUCGAGGAAGGACAUCACCCACAGAAGAAGCACCGGCUAACUCCGUGCCAGCAGCCGCGGUAAUACGGAGGGUGCGAGCGUUAAUCGGAAUUACUGGGCGUAAAGCGCGCGUAGGCGGUCUGAUAAGCCGGUUGUGAAAGCCCCGGGCUCAACCUGGGAACGGCAUCCGGAACUGUCAGGCUAGAGUGCAGGAGAGGAAGGUAGAAUUCCCGGUGUAGCGGUGAAAUGCGUAGAGAUCGGGAGGAAUACCAGUGGCGAAGGCGGCCUUCUGGACUGACACUGACGCUGAGGUGCGAAAGCGUGGGUAGCAAACAGGAUUAGAUACCCGUGUAGUC